Molecule: long non-coding RNA, 284 nt
Filed under: Elaeis guineensis (African oil palm)
Lineage: Eukaryota; Viridiplantae; Streptophyta; Magnoliopsida; Arecales; Arecaceae
Description: long non-coding RNA (EGUI_LNC003761)
Source: RNAcentral
GGGAGUACGGGAAGGCUUAGAUGUAUGCAGUUUCUAUAGUUUCAAACCCAUGGAGCAACCUAUUGCUUACUGUUGCCCAAGGGUCCACCCUAUAUUUAUCUUUCCUCAUUGUUUGAACUCUUUGCAAAUCUAAGGACAAUGGUGGAGGAUAGCUUGUUAUUCACAGAAGGUUAAACUUUUAAAUGUGCUUUAUCCUAAAAGGUAUAAUGCUAGGAAGGCAUCCGGUUAGGAAGUCCUUAAUUUUUUCUUAGACCCUUCCUGAUUUAAAGUUCUGCUCGAUGGUC